CAUGAGUAUGGGACUAACCAGACCAUGACCGCUGACGGAAUGGCGAGCUUCAUUCCGGGCAGGACGUGCCGGAACGCCUCGGUCGUGAACCCCGGCCACGUCUCCCUGAACCUGGCGGACAGCAUGACGUACGCCGCGAGCAUGAGGAAAGACAGCCAGAGCGAGGCGGACGUGGCCACGGCGGCGCCGGCGAAGCCCAUGCCGAGCACGUUGACGAGCGCGUGCGCGACGCCGACGUGCGCCGCCAGCGGGAGCAGCGAGAAGGCGACGAGCGGCGCCACCACGGACUGCGCCUGCAGGAAGCGGAGCGCGCACUGGAUGAAGCCGUAGGCGAACAGCGCCGGGACGGAGUGGCGGAGGAAGUCCGCGGCCAGGCGCGACGUCUCCGGGUCCUGGCGGAGGAAGACCAGCAGCGGCUCCGAGUAGAUCCAGAGGAGGGAGACGACGGCGGAGGCCAGCGCGGAGGUGAGCAGCGACGCCUGCAGGUGCACGCCCAUCGUCCGAUGGAGGCUGUUCGUUGGAUCCAUCCGAUCCGAUCUAGACGUACGUACCAUGAGCGCGAUGCCGGUGACGGUGCCCCAGGAGUUGCCGAGCGUGGCGGCGGCGAGCUGCAGGUCGCCGAGGCGGCCGGCGAACAUGACGGAGACGAGCGGGAUGGCGUAGUAGGCCAUGCUGGUGGCCACCAUGGGCGCCGCGAAGGCCAGCUGCCCCUUCACCUCCGCCCAUGGCCACGCCGACGCCGACGACGCCGCCGGCAGCAGCCCCGUGUCCCCUGCAGCAGUUUUCCCCUGAUCACCAUGGAUGACGGUGAGUCUGAGGUGAUCAUCAUCACCGUUGUUGGCCGGUACCAGCAACGGAACAUUUGCCUCCUCACCCAUUGUUGCUUCAAUUUGCUAUAUCAUGUGUUGUGUGUGUGUGUGCUCCGUCUCUACUGGAUCUGCACGCCAACUAACUCAAGCGCACUGCCACUAUAUAUAGCCAUAGGAAUCCCUUCCCUAUACGCCGGCUAUAGGCUAUACAUAUAUUUUUUUUUUAGAAAGCCAGGAGAACUGCGCAUCAUUUUAAUUAUAGAAGAAAAAGGUCCAAAAUGGACCAAGGUACAAAGCCCUAAGCAGGCUCACUCAAAACCAAAAAACACACACACCACUCCCUAGACCCUGUGAAGGUUACGCGCAAGCACUAAUCCAAAGCUCUGAAGAUGCUUGGCACCAGCCGUAAUCCAACACCCAAUCUCAUCAAGAAAGACGCAUCUGAUAGAGCUUAGCGAAGGGGUCUCCCCAUCAAAGACAGCCUUGUUGCGGUGGAUCCAUAAACACCAGGCCCCUAAAAUGAUGAUGCUGUUCAUGCCCUUUCUCUUGCUUUUAUGUAUCUUCUUACUUGUUUUUCGCCACCAAUCAGCAAAGGAGAUCUCAUCUCUAGAGGGAGAGAGAUUACCAACAUUCAAUCCAAAUAGAAUGGAAUGCCAGAACUGUCUUGCAAAGACACAUGAACACAAAAUAUGUUGUAUGGUUUCCUGCUCUUGAUCACAGAAUAGGCUAUACAUAUAAGUACACUACCUUUUAUUUUUAGUAAUACAACAUCAAUGAGUGGUCAAAAUACCAAUACAGUUAAUUCACUAUGGUGGAAUGGGUCUCCAUUACAUUGUGUGAUAUUACUACGUAUUACUACCUCUGUUCUUAUGUUCUUAAAUAUAUUUAUGUUCUUAAAUAUAUGACGCCGUUGAUUUUUUUAAAACUUUGAUCACUUUGUCUUAUCC
This 1756-nucleotide unclassified non-coding RNA is filed under the name Zea mays. RNAcentral describes it as "misc RNA Zm00001eb298430". The record is from RNAcentral. Lineage: Eukaryota; Viridiplantae; Streptophyta; Magnoliopsida; Poales; Poaceae.